UGAGGAAUAUUGGUCAAUGGUCGGGAGACUGAACCAGCCAAGCCGCGUGAGGGAUGAAGGUACAGAGUAUCGUAAACCUCUUUUGUCAGGGAACAAAAGGCGCCACGCGUGGCGCUCCGAGUGUACCUGAAGAAAAAGCAUCGGCUAACUCCGUGCCAGCAGCCGCGGUAAUACGGAGGAUGCGAGCGUUAUCCGGAUUUAUUGGGUUUAAAGGGUGCGUAGGCGGCGAGUUAAGUCAGCGGUAAAAGCCCGGGGCUCAACCCCGGCCCGCCGUUAAACUGGCUUGCUUGAGUUGGAGAGAAGUAGGCGGAAUGCGCGGUGUAGCGGUGAAAUGCUUAGAUAUCGCGCAGAACUCCGAUUGCGAAGGCAGCCUACCGGUUCCAGACUGACGCUGAGGCACGAAAGCGUGGGUAUCGAACAGGAUUAGAUACC
This 432-nucleotide ribosomal RNA is filed under the name uncultured bacterium. RNAcentral describes it as "bacterial SSU rRNA". It matches the Rfam family "Bacterial small subunit ribosomal RNA", at positions 355 to 786 of the family's 1533-position model. The record is from RNAcentral.